This 439-nucleotide ribosomal RNA is filed under the name uncultured bacterium. RNAcentral describes it as "bacterial SSU rRNA". It matches the Rfam family "Bacterial small subunit ribosomal RNA", at positions 958 to 1393 of the family's 1533-position model. The record is from RNAcentral.
AACGCGAAGAACCUUACCUAGGCUUGACAUGGGGGUGAAAUUUCAUAGAAAUAUGGAACCUUCCGCAAGGAACACCCUACACAGGUGCUGCAUGGUUGUCGUCAGCUCGUGUCGUGAGAUGUUAGGUUAAGUCCUGCAACGAGCGCAACCCUCGCCCUUAGUUGCCAUCAGGUAAAGCUGGGAACUCUAAGGGGACCGCCUGGUUUAACCAGGAGGAAGGUGGGGAUGACGUCAAAUCCUCAUGGCCCUUACGCCUAGGGCUAGACACGUGCUACAAUGGUAGAUACAGCGGGAUGCAAGCUGGUGACAGCAAGCCAAUCCCUUAAAAUCUAUCUCAGUCCGGAUUGAAGUCUGCAAUUCGACUUCAUGAAGCUGGAAUCGCUAGUAAUCGCGGAUCAGCAUGCCGCGGUGAAUACGUUCCCGGGUCUUGUACACACGC